RNAcentral lists this ribosomal RNA (498 nucleotides) under uncultured bacterium. RNAcentral describes it as "partial 16S ribosomal RNA". It matches the Rfam family "Bacterial small subunit ribosomal RNA", at positions 30 to 523 of the family's 1533-position model. The record is from RNAcentral.
AUUGAACGCUGGCGGCAUGCUUUACACAUGCAAGUCGAACGGCAGCGCGGGGCAACCUGGCGGCGAGUGGCGAACGGGUGAGUAAUACAUCGGAACGUACCCAGAAGUGGGGGAUAACGUAGCGAAAGUUACGCUAAUACCGCAUACGUUCUACGGAAGAAAGUGGGGGAUCGCAAGACCUCAUGCUUUUGGAGCGGCCGAUGUCUGAUUAGCUAGUUGGUAGGGUAAAGGCCUACCAAGGCGACGAUCAGUAGCUGGUCUUAGAGGACGACCAGCCACACUGGGACUGAGACACGGUCCAGACUCCUACGGGAGGCAGCAGUGGGGAAUUUUGGACAAUGGGCGCAAGCCUGAUCCAGCAAUGCCGCGUGAGUGAAGAAGGCCUUCGGGUUGUAAAGCUCUUUUGUCAGGGAAGAAACGGCUGGGGCUAAUAUCCUCGGCUAAUGACGGUACCUGAAGAAUAAGCACCGGCUAACUACGUGCCAGCCGCCGCGGUAA